AUGACAAUGAUGGCCUCAUUGACGAAGAUGUCGUUGAUGAUUUGUUUGUGGACGGCCAUUGGUCGGAGUGGGACGAGUGGGAGUGUGAGGGGUCGUGUGGGACGUCGACCUUCAUCUCUUACAGGUCGUGUAACAACCCUAAUCCUAGAUAUAUGGGCAAAACGUGUGAAGGAUAUUUUGUCAGGAAAAAUAACAGCAGUUGUAAGGGAUUGGUGGAGUGUGGCCAAA
This is a long non-coding RNA of Physella acuta, 228 nucleotides long. RefSeq lists it as uncharacterized. The record is from RefSeq and is a predicted model, not a curated record. Lineage: Eukaryota; Metazoa; Mollusca; Gastropoda; Physidae.